GAUGAACGCUGGCGGCGUGCUUAACACAUGCAAGUCGAGCGAAGCGAUUUUAAGGAAGCCUUCGGGUGGAAUUAAAAUUGACUUAGCGGCGGACGGGUGAGUAACGCGUGGGUAACCUGCCUCAUACAGGGGGAUAACAGUUAGAAAUGACUGCUAAUACCGCAUAAGCGCACAGUGCUGCAUAGCACAGUGUGAAAAACUCCGGUGGUAUGAGAUGGACCCGCGUCUGAUUAGGUAGUUGGUGAGGUAACGGCCCACCAAGCCGACGAUCAGUAGCCGCCCUGAGAGGGUGCCCGGCCACAUUGGGACUGAGACACGGCCCAAACUCCUACGGGAGGCAGCAGUGGGGAAUAUUGGACAAUGGGGGAAACCCUGAUCCAGCGACGCCGCGUGACUGAAGAAGUAUUUCGGUAUGUAAAGGUCUAUCAGCAGGGAAGAAAAUGACGGUACCUGACUAAGAAGCCCCGGCUAAUUACGUGCCAGCCGCCGCCGUAA
RNAcentral lists this ribosomal RNA (495 nucleotides) under uncultured bacterium. RNAcentral's name for it is "partial 16S ribosomal RNA". It matches the Rfam family "Bacterial small subunit ribosomal RNA", at positions 28 to 523 of the family's 1533-position model. The record is from RNAcentral.